GAUGAACGCUGGCGGCGUGCCUAAUACAUGCAAGUCGAGCGAACGGACGAGAAGCUUGCUUCUCUGAUGUUAGCGGCGGACGGGUGAGUAACACGUGGAUAACCUACCUAUAAGACUGGGAUAACUUCGGGAAACCGGAGCUAAUACCGGAUAAUAUUUUGAACCGCAUGGUUCAAAAGUGAAAGACGGUCUUGCUGUCACUUAUAGAUGGAUCCGCGCUGCAUUAGCUAGUUGGUAAGGUAACGGCUUACCAAGGCAACGAUGCAUAGCCGACCUGAGAGGGUGAUCGGCCACACUGGAACUGAGACACGGUCCAGACUCCUACGGGAGGCAGCAGUAGGGAAUCUUCCGCAAUGGGCGAAAGCCUGACGGAGCAACGCCGCGUGAGUGAUGAAGGUCUUCGGAUCGUAAAACUCUGUUAUUAGGGAAGAACAUAUGUGUAAGUAACUGUGCACAUCUUGACGGUACCUAAUCAGAAAGCCACGGCUAACUACGUGCCAGCAGCCGCGGUAAUACGUAGGUGGCAAGCGUUAUCCGGAAUUAUUGGGCGUAAAGCGCGCGUAGGCGGUUUUUUAAGUCUGAUGUGAAAGCCCACGGCUCAACCGUGGAGGGUCAUUGGAAACUGGAAAACUUGAGUGCAGAAGAGGAAAGUGGAAUUCCAUGUGUAGCGGUGAAAUGCGCAGAGAUAUGGAGGAACACCAGUGGCGAAGGCGACUUUCUGGUCUGUAACUGACGCUGAUGUGCGAAAGCGUGGGGAUCAAACAGGAUUAGAUACCCUGGUAGUCCACGCCGUAAACGAUGAGUGCUAAGUGUUAGGGGGUUUCCGCCCCUUAGUGCUGCAGCUAACGCAUUAAGCACUCCGCCUGGGGAGUACGACUGCAAGGUUGAAACUCAAAGGAAUUGACGGGGACCCGCACAAGCGGUGGAGCAUGUGGUUUAAUUCGAAGCAACGCGAAGAACCUUACCAAAUCUUGACAUCCUUUGACAACUCUAGAGAUAGAGCCUUCCCCUUCGGGGGACAAAGUGACAGGUGGUGCAUGGUUGUCGUCAGCUCGUGUCGUGAGAUGUUGGGUUAAGUCCCGCAACGAGCGCAACCCUUAAGCUUAGUUGCCAUCAUUAAGUUGGGCACUCUAAGUUGACUGCCGGUGACAAACCGGAGGAAGGUGGGGAUGACGUCAAAUCAUCAUGCCCCUUAUGAUUUGGGCUACACACGUGCUACAAUGGACAAUACAAAGGGCAGCGAAACCGCGAGGUCAAGCAAAUCCCAUAAAGUUGUUCUCAGUUCGGAUUGUAGUCUGCAACUCGACUACAUGAAGCUGGAAUCGCUAGUAAUCGUAGAUCAGCAUGCUACGGUGAAUACGUUCUCGGGUCU
Molecule: ribosomal RNA, 1372 nt
Filed under: uncultured bacterium
Lineage: Bacteria
Description: bacterial SSU rRNA
Rfam family: Bacterial small subunit ribosomal RNA
Source: RNAcentral